Long non-coding RNA from Cephus cinctus (wheat stem sawfly), 2709 nucleotides. RefSeq lists it as uncharacterized. The transcript has 3 exons. The record is from RefSeq and is a predicted model, not a curated record. Lineage: Eukaryota; Metazoa; Arthropoda; Insecta; Hymenoptera; Cephidae.
UAUCACAACACGUCUAGAAGAGGAAAAAUGAGUCACAAAGAAAAUAUAAGAGAAUCGAUUAGCUACAUAUGAUAAAUAUGUUAAAUAAUAAUAAAUGCUUAUGCGUUUAUUUUUCAGAUUCUAAAUCUCUUUGUUAAGAAUUAGAUCGUUCACCGUGAUAGUAGAUAUAAAUAUACAUGCAUAGGUUUAAUGAGCUGACGUAUGUAUGCAUAUUGGUACAACAUGUGUCAAGAUGUCAACAGGGCUCUUACUCCGCUCCGUCGUUCUUGUUGAUAUUGUCAAAGAUGCGCGAAUCUUAAGCAUCGCGUCUAAUUACAUGUUUCGUGGAAAUAACGGAGCGUGAUAGGUUUUCCGAGAUUUACCGACGAAAUUUGGUAUUAUGAACCGUAUGCGUUUUAAAAUGAUGAUUUAUUAUGGUCAUUCAGCUUGGCUAUUACUUCGGAUUUUUUAAAUUCAUACCAUGUUUUUCACUUUGAUUCAUUCUUAGUGAAGGUUAUGCGUGAAUUUAUAUCUAGUUGUUUGCGACUGACAUACCAGUCUCUUUCAUACAACUGUGAAUUUGACUCUUGCAGUUUAAGUAUCUUUGAUUGACUUUGGAUAAUAGCAGGUUCACUUUAUUCUUGAAGUAGGUAUCGAAGACACCAAAUAGACAUUUCAAACUCUUAACUUUCGCUUUUCUUCUUUGUCUUAUCUUACCAUCUUUCGGCAUCACUAUGCAUCUGUUACGAAAGCAUUCUAACAAUAAAUCUAGUUGAUAUCGCAUCCAAAAUAAUACCAUUAUGGCAACGAUUCAAAUAGUUACAUGUUGCAAUUUUUGUCCCGUGCCCGGGAAAAUGCAUUCAUUCAAAACUGCAUUCCAUAAUUAUUAAAUAACAAAUUUUUGGUAUUGCUAUCUGACUUUUAACAAAUAAGAGAUUCUUCCUGUACUAAAAGAAUGAUUUUAUAAAUAAUAAAUCCUAUAUGCGUACUGCGUACAUAUUAUUGUAAUACGUAUAUGCGAUAAAUUUCUUUAACUGCAAAAUUUUACUAAAUAGUAAAUAUGCGUACAUUUGAAAAUACGUGUGCAAUAUCGUUCGAGCUACAACAACAAAAAUUGAAUUAAAUCAAAUAGCAAUACAGGCUCAGGUUUUCGCAACGUUGUGUUAGUUCCAGCCUACUGUAAACUGAUUAUGGUGCGCUGUAUGUACACAUGGUAAUCUAAACACAUAAAAACAGAGCCAGCAAUCGCUUCGAAAAUAAUUUCCUCUAUACGCAAGACGAUGACUGUAUGCGGGAUACUCCAAACUAUAUUUUACUAAUAUCAGGCUACUCCUUAAGAUAGCUUUCGUCACCACAGUCAAUAGGAAUAGCAAAAAAAUAUUCACACAAAUCUUAACAAAAAGUGAUUUGUUUCAAAGUUAUUCAGACAAAUUUAAUACCCUAAAAUAUAUCUCAUCAAUUAAAGUUCAGUCACCUUCGAGGCGAUGUCGUAAAAAAAAGCUCCCAUUACGUCAUCCAACAAAACCACUAUCACUCCAAUCUCUAUAUUACUCGUUUUAUCGAGAUAUUUAAAAACAUUUGUAGCUCCAUUUCAUGAACUCUUCAAAACUAUCAUAAAAAAUCUUUCAAAAUAAUUUCAAAUUUGUAUAGAUGCCUAGGAUUAUUUUGACAGUCAAUAUACUGAUGGAUAUAUACUGAUGGAUUUAUGUCCUGUGGAACAAAGCCGAAAACGUAGCUGAAGUGUCUGUCGGGUCUUCUAAGAUUCAGAAGUAGCUAGGCGUAUCGUGCUUCGCCCCCGCGUUUGGCGAGGUUAGGCUAUUUUGAUCCUGGUGGUCCACUCGGCGAGUUGGGUCUAACUCUCACGUAGACAGAUCAGUUUGUGCCUCGCUCACUCUCCUAAACCCAGGUGGUUGGUUGGCAGGUUAGACCAUCAGCCACAACACCCGCCUGUUGCUCGAAAAUUCUCUUUUCGUUAACCGGGAGUCUCGAGCAUUGACAUUCAAUUUGGCAUUCGAUCAAACGGUUCUCGGUACAUCGUUCGCCCAUCAUUAACCUGACACCUUAGCAAGUCUUCAGCCACGCGCACUUCCUGACCUCGCGAGUUCGACCCGGAUGGUCUUGAAUUUUUGCCUUUGCUUCUUGUGUUUUUCUAUUUCAAUUUCCUGGGACCGGAUGCGUUUACAGCUGUUCGAUUGAGUAGUGACAAUCGUCAUGGAUCUUUGUCCUUGAUACUAAGGUCCUUCGUGGAUGACGGUUACGGAUGUUGAACUAAAAUCUAGUCGAACGUGCCAGUGUGCUAGUGGGCCAGGAUCAAGAAUAGCUGCGGUCAGACAGAAUACCAGGAUACCAAACGUUGAUUGAAUACCAACUAUAGAGCAGGGGCCGUCUACCGGGGUCUGCAUCUACUUCGAUGCUGGACAUACUUGAAGAUACGACCUAUUGCAUUGGUUACCAUAGCAGACAAGUCACUUUACGCAAGAGCACAAAAGUUUCUUCAACAUCUUUACAUGCUUCCCAGAGUCUUAUAUGAAAAUUAUUCUUGGUCUUGAUUAUAAUCAGCCUUUAGGAAAACCUGAUCCCGCCAGUGAGCUAGCAAGUUUUCACCUAAUGCACACAUACGUACUAUUCGCAGUUCAGUCGUGACGUGAAAAAAAAAUAAUAGUAUCAGCAGUUACUAUCUGCUUUACAGAGAAUAUUUUUCAAGAGAUCUUAACACAUGAUAUAUUUAUA